Long non-coding RNA from Oncorhynchus keta (chum salmon), 687 nucleotides. RefSeq lists it as uncharacterized. The transcript is spliced from 5 exons. The record is from RefSeq and is a predicted model, not a curated record. Lineage: Eukaryota; Metazoa; Chordata; Actinopteri; Salmoniformes; Salmonidae.
UGUAGUAGUGAGGUAACAGGGAUAUGUGUUGUUGUAGUAGUGAGGUAACAGGGAUACGUGUUGUAGUAGUGAGGUAACAGGGAUACGUGUUGUAGUAGUGAGGUAACAGGGAUACGUGUUGUUGUAGUAGUGAGGUAACAGGGAUACGUGUUGUUGUAGUAGUGAGGUAACAGGGAUACGUGUUGUUGUAGUAGUGAGGUAACAGGGAUACGUGUUGUUGUAGUAGUGAGGUAACAGGGAUACGUGUUGUUGUAGUAGUGAGGUAACAGGGAUACGUGUUGUUGUAGUAGUGAGGUAACAGGGAUACGUGUUGUUGUAGUAGUGAGGUAACAGGGAUACGUGUUGUUGUAGUAGUGAGGUAACAGGGAUACGUGUUGUUGUAGUAGUGAGGUAACAGGGAUACGUGUUGUUGUAGUAGUGAGGUAACAGGGAUACGUGUUGUUGUAGUAGUGAGGUAACAGGGAUACGUGUUGUUGUAGUAGUGAGGUAACAGGGAUACGUGUUGUUGUAGUAGUGAGGUAACAGGGAUACGUGUUGUUGUAGUAGUGAGGUAACAGGGAUACGUGUUGUUGUAGUAGUGAGGUAACAGGGAUACGUGUUGUUGUAGUAGUGAGGUAACAGGGAUACGUGUUGUUGUAGUAGUGAGGUAACGGGGAUACGUGUUGUUGCAGUAGUGAGGUAACAGGG